This 468-nucleotide ribosomal RNA is filed under the name uncultured bacterium. Its description in RNAcentral is "partial 16S ribosomal RNA". It matches the Rfam family "Bacterial small subunit ribosomal RNA", at positions 28 to 506 of the family's 1533-position model. The record is from RNAcentral.
GACGAACGCUGGCGGCGUGCUUAACACAUGCAAGUCGAACGGAAAGGCCCUGCUUUUGUGGGGUGCUCGAGUGGCGAACGGGUGAGUAACACGUGAGUAACCUGCCCUUGACUUUGGGAUAACUUCAGGAAACUGGGGCUAAUACCGGAUAGGAGCUCCUGCUGCAUGGUGGGGGUUGGAAAGUUUCGGCGGUUGGGGAUGGACUCGCGGCUUAUCAGCUUGUUGGUGGGGUAGUGGCUUACCAAGGCUUUGACGGGUAGCCGGGCUGAGGGGGUGACCGGGCAAAAUUGGAAUGAGAUACGGCCCAGACUCCCACGGGGGGGAGGAGGGGGGGAAUUUGCACAAAGGGGGGGAGGCUUAGUGCGGAAACGCGGGGGGGGGAAGGAGGGCCUUGGGGUGGAAAACCGUUUUCCCCUGGACGGAGGGGGGGGGGAGGGAAAGGGGUAAAAAAGCCCCGGGAAACUCGGG